CCACACAAUCCUAACCCUAGUUCCCAGCCCCCUCUACCCUUGCUCUCUUUCCUGCCCCGCCGCCAGCCUCCACCUCCCUCAGCGCCACCCAUGCCCAACCACCGCGUCCAGAUCCACGUCCCCCUCCCCCAGCACCACCCGUGCACAACCACCCGCUUGACGUCCUGCGUCCCCUCCUCCUCAACGCUUGCACCACGAUGGACACCAACAUCGUCGCCCUCACAGCCGCAUCGAAGAGGAACACACCCGUCUUUGACGCCGAGGAGGACCUCCCGGUCGCGUACUCCAAGUACACGCCGGAGCUCUCCGAGAAGCUUGCUGCCAAGCGACAUCUUUAGAGUCGUGCGCUCUGGCGGAUCCCUCAUCAGGCCGUCAGGAAGCUGGAGGACUGGCCGUACGUGAACUGACUGGAUCGGAGAAAUUGGCAGUUGUUCUUGGUGGAUGAGAGGGUCAUGAGCAUGAGUACUGUACCUACAAGGUCAUUCUAUAUGGUUUGUUCUCCCAAGAUCUAUCUUGACCAUUUCAUCUAAAUGCGGAACCAUCUUUUCAAGACAAGUGUACAGGCCACGUUUUACUACAGCAGGCUUGAAGUUAUCACCAUAGUGGCAUUGUGGAUUCAAAUAAUAUGCAGCAGCAUGCAGAGGUCUAUGAAGCUGUACAACCCAAAGUCAAAUAUGCAGUAGCAAAUCUUGUCACUGCUGGCCUAAUUAAAUCCUUUCCUCCGGUGAAUUCUCUCAACCAACUCACCACCUGCUUUAUAGUUAGCGGCAUUGUCCAGCAGGCUACACCAACACGUUAGGCUGAAGCUUCAAAGCAGUUCUCAGAAAUCAUGGCGAGGCAAAGACAUUGAAGAUGGAUUAGCCGAUGCAAGCAACUGCCAAUGGGAAAACUAAUUGCGAGCA
Molecule: long non-coding RNA, 902 nt
Organism: Hordeum vulgare subsp. vulgare (domesticated barley)
Lineage: Eukaryota; Viridiplantae; Streptophyta; Magnoliopsida; Poales; Poaceae
Exons: 6
Source: RefSeq, a predicted model, not a curated record